AAGAAUCAAAAAGUUUUUUUUAUAACUAUAAUAUAAACUGAAUGAAAAGUAAAGAAUAUUACCAGCUUGCUCUCUCUCUCUCUAUUCACUAUAUACAUGUAUACAUGUACAGUCG
This 115-nucleotide non-coding RNA is filed under the name Paraphysomonas imperforata. Lineage: Eukaryota; Chrysophyceae; Chromulinales; Paraphysomonadaceae. The record is from RNAcentral.